This 472-nucleotide ribosomal RNA is filed under the name uncultured organism. Its description in RNAcentral is "partial 16S ribosomal RNA". It matches the Rfam family "Bacterial small subunit ribosomal RNA", at positions 334 to 797 of the family's 1533-position model. The record is from RNAcentral.
CACUCCUACGGGAGGCAGCAGUGGGGAAUUUUGGACGAUGGGCGAAAGCCUGAUCCAGCCAUGCCGCGUGCAGGAUGAAGGCCUUCGGGUUGUAAACUGCUUUUGUACGGAACGAAACGGCCUUUUCUAAUAAAGAGGGCUAAUGACGGUACCGUAAGAAUAAGCACCGGCUAACUACGUGCCAGCAGCCGCGGUAAUACGUAGGGUGCAAGCGUUAAUCGGAAUUACUGGGCGUAAAGCGUGCGCAGGCGGUUAUGUAAGACAGUUGUGAAAUCCCCGGGCUCAACCUGGGAACUGCAUCUGUGACUGCAUAGCUAGAGUACGGUAGAGGGGGAUGGAAUUCCGCGUGUAGCAGUGAAAUGCGUAGAUAUGCGGAGGAACACCGAUGGCGAAGGCAAUCCCCUGGACCUGUACUGACGCUCAUGCACGAAAGCGUGGGGAGCAAACAGGAUUAGAUACCCGGGUAGUCCCA